GACGAACGUUGGCGGCGUGCUUAAUACAUGCAAGUCAACUGAAGCAGUGGUAGCAAUCUCGCUGUGGAGGUGGCGCACGGGUGAGUAACACGUAGGUAAUCUGCCUUCAGGUCUGGCAUAACUCCGGGAAACCGGGGCUAAUAGCAGAUGAUGCAGCGGCUCGACAUCGAGACAGUUGUUAAAGCUAUGGCGCCUGAAGAUGAGCCUGCGUCUGAUUAGCUAGUUGGCGGGGUAACGGCCCACCAAGGCAACGAUCAGUAGCUGGUCUGAGAGGAUGAUCAGCCACACUGGAACUGAGACACGGUCCAGACUCCUACGGGAGGCAGCAGUAAGGAAUAUUGCUCAAUGGGAGAAAUCCUGAAGCAGCAACGCCGCGUGAGGGACGAAGGGCUUUGGCUUGUAAACCUCUGUAGUGAGAGAAAAAAAUCCCAAUCUUUGGGACAUGAUGGUAUCUCAAAAGUAAGCCCCGGCUAACUACGUG
This 481-nucleotide ribosomal RNA is filed under the name uncultured bacterium. Its description in RNAcentral is "partial 16S ribosomal RNA". It matches the Rfam family "Bacterial small subunit ribosomal RNA", at positions 28 to 507 of the family's 1533-position model. The record is from RNAcentral.